AUGCCGCUCCGGCGCCUCCUGGACCUCUCCGCCACCGUCUCCGACCUGCUCCGCCGCUCCCUCUCCACCGCCGCCGCCCCCUCGCACCCACCAUGGGCGAUCGUCGACUACACGUCCAUGGUGGACCGCUCCUCGUCGGCCCCGGGCGCGUGCUUCCACCCCGUCGCGCCCCCGGGCAUCUCCCACGUCACGGCCCCGGCGCACCUCGUCAGCCCCAGGGCGCGCCCCGCCCCCGACACCAACGUCGUCCAGGUCCUCUUCGGCAACGUCGGCGCCGCCAGCGGCGACGGCCACCUCCUCCUCAGCUACCACGACCUCCGGGCGGAGGGCCCCUGCACCACCUGGGACCUGUCCGCGCCCCCGGAAAUCCAGCGCUUCGUCUGCAACCCCCUCACCGGCCAGAUGCUCCGCCUGCCGGACAUUGGCGGCUCCCGGAGGACCCUCGUCUUCCACCACAUGGGCCUCCUCACCCAGGCCGACGGCUGGCUCGGGCGCGGGCCGCCCCACAGAUUCGCCGUCGCCGAGCUUGCCUUCCAUGGCGCCGGCCUCGAGCGGUUUCUCUCGGAGAAAGGGGAGUGGGAGACGGUGAUGGGCGUGCCGUGCGGGCCGCCGCCCCCGCGCGGGAUGGAGGUCAACCAGGAGACGGUUGCCUUCGGCGGCCGCCUGUGGUGGGUCGACCUCACCUUGGGCGCCGUCUCCGUCGACCCCUUCGCCGACCGGCCGGAGAUCCGCUUCGUCGAGCUGCCCAGCGGCAGCGUGCUGCCUGCGCGUGCUCGUACGGAAGAGGAUGGAGAUCUCAGGAAGGUCGAUGACCGGGGGCUCUUCUUGCGGGAGGUGGCCAAGCACCGGCGCAUUGGCGUGAGCAAGGGGCGGCUGCGCUACGCCGAGGUCUCUCCUCACGACCCGUUCCUGCUCAGCUCCUUUGCGCUCGACGGCGACGAGGGCGGCGGCUGGACGCUGGAGCACCAGGUGGAGCUCAGACAGGUGUUGGCGGACGGAGGCUACCCGUGGCAGGAGAACUCGGCGCAGGCGGCGCCGCAGAUCGUCGUCCUUGACCCGCUGAACGCCAACGCCAUCUACCUCAAGGUCGGCGAGCACGUCGUCGUGGUGGACAUGCACAACGGCAAGGUGAUAGGGGCCUCUCCGCUUCAGGACGAGUACUCUCUUGUGCCGUGCGUGCUCCCGCCAUGGCUUGCAUCGAGCACGAUCCCUACGGCAGGCAAGAAGGAUGGCAUGGAACCGACAGAUGAUCCGGUUAAUUUGUCUUAG
Molecule: ribosomal RNA, 1269 nt
Filed under: Triticum aestivum (bread wheat)
Lineage: Eukaryota; Viridiplantae; Streptophyta; Magnoliopsida; Poales; Poaceae
Description: partial small subunit ribosomal RNA
Source: RNAcentral